ACCAAACUGAGCCAACAUACCUUGGCUUGAGAUACUAUGAUGUCAUUUAUGAGCAGUGUAGCAUCGCUAAGAAGCUGCCUUUCUAGAACAUAUUAACCCAGGAGCCUGGCUUUCCAAUGCUCCUGGCCUAGUCUGACCAUUACAGGGCUCUAAGAGAAUUAGAGCCUCAACUAGAGUUUCUACUAAAGGGCUUUCCAAACAGAGGGAACACAAAUUUCCAAAUACAAGAGGUGCUAAAAUGGUUGACUUCAGGCAACCAGAGAACCUGGCAGGAUAUUGGAGGCUGGAGAAGAAGAGAGGUCUGAGGGUUUAUCCUCACAUUGCCUGCCCCCAUUGGGACAGUGGUGUGAAAGCCUAAAGGCAGCACCUGCUCCCAGUAAGGAUGAAGACCGUGGUUAUAACUUCUUGGUUCUCUGAACACUGUUUACACCUGUAUAUACAAGCCUUUCAUUAAACAGCCUUUGCUUCGUUCUUUGAUCCUGUUUUCUGCUGAGACCCUGAUUGCUACAGCGCCUCCAGAUGUUGCAAUGGUAAGACAACAAAGUUUGGGGGA
Molecule: long non-coding RNA, 553 nt
Organism: Panthera uncia (snow leopard)
Lineage: Eukaryota; Metazoa; Chordata; Mammalia; Carnivora; Felidae
Exons: 3
Source: RefSeq, a predicted model, not a curated record